This 2363-nucleotide long non-coding RNA is filed under the name Toxoplasma gondii VEG. The record is from RNAcentral. Lineage: Eukaryota; Apicomplexa; Conoidasida; Eucoccidiorida; Sarcocystidae.
CUGGGGAGGAGGCGCGAUGUCGUUUUGUCUCCAAAUGCGGUUUUUCGUUUUGCACAGCGUCGACAGAGAGAACGGGACUGCUGAUGUUUUGUGAAAUCUCUUCAGGGGUGAAAGGGGAGGCACUUAAACUUCCAAGUCGAAGCACGGCCUUCGAGUCUAAACAUCAACAAAGCGCUUCACCAGUGUUGGUCUCCUCUCUGCUUUCCGGCCAUGCACGCGCGAGUGUUCGUGUGCCGAUUUAAUUCCACUGCCUGUAGAGGCCUACGUCUACGGACAAGUUGUCCACUUCGUUCUUCGGAAACUGAAUCAAAAGAUCGCUUUACUUGUGCUUCCAGCGCAGGGACGCUCUUCUGUCAGGGGCGGGCAGUCGACGGCGGGAUCUAUGAAUGCUUCUGCAUGCUGACAGGAAAAGUCAAAAACCAGCGAAAAGCCAAUGCGAGCUCGCCUUUGUCCGACAUGCGCGGAAGAGCUUUCUUUUGCCAGUGCUACGCAGCGUAAACCGAGUGCCCGAGGUUUCUUAAAUCUACCUGUCCUCCUCAAUUUUUCUACGAUUCCGGGUGCAUGCAAGCCGCAAAUUUCUCCAGUAAUCAACGAAACAAGAAUACGCGCCACAUGCCUGAACAAGUCAAGUCCACCCCCCUCCCCCAGCGCGACACUACGGUCACCACGCGCAAACACCAAAAUCUCUCUCCAGCCUCGUCUCUCUCUGUCGAUAUACAGGCGAACAUGCAUGCGCACACACGCUCGAGUCGCCUCCAAACAAAGUCCACUCAGACCACGCCGUGACCUGGCAGUGGCAGCCUGAGAGAAAGGCAAAGAAGAAAAGCAUCGCAGAAAAUCGGGGAACGGUUGAGUUCCACGAAUUCGCGGAAAGGAGAGGACUCGGACGACUUCGAGAGAGAUCAAGUGCAUGCAACUCCUUGCGCUGCGUUCUCAGAGGAUGGAGGCCGUCGAACGCCAGGGAAGCCGGUUUUUCUAUCUCGCACCUUCCUUGGAGGAACCGACAAAAAGAGGCAUCUGCAGUCUGAAGGUUUCCUUGUCUUGUCUAUGCAGAGCAACCGAUCAGGCUCAAUCAAAAUACAUGUGUCUGUAUGUACAGAUAGACGAGUGAAUACUCACAAACUCAUGUUUAACCGAUUCCUGGUCAGUGCUUGCCUCUUCGUAAACACAGCCUCUUAUGCUCACACGGAGAAUGAAUCCCCGAGUUUGAAAAGAUGUAUCUGUGCGUGUAUUUAGACACAUGGGUGCCUCACUUUCUAGACAUGCAGGAACUUCGAACUGAAGAAGGUGCACAGCUCAGACUUUUGAUCGUUGCUGUUUAGUUGCGCGUGCAUGCAAUGCGCCUUCUGCGAAGGCUUCGAAGAGGGAAUUUCCGCAAAGCCCAGCUGAUCGCUCGCGGUUGGGUUUGUGUGUGUUGAGAGCAGGAGAAGGGAGAACAAGCAUUGAAAGAGAAAUCGAAUUUCCUUCUGAAUUGCUGCUCACCGUGAGGCGCAAGCCCUGCAAACAAAGAGCAUGUUGUCCUGCCUUCGGCGAUGUCUUCAAGAUCUGGAAAUGAAAAACACAGUUCAACGCGCAACGGAAAUUGCUUCAUACAACUUCGUUUGACCGGAUGUGUGACAGAUUCGGCGUUCCCGCGGAACAUGAGCAGACGAAGUGGCGAUGAUGAUCAGUACCACCGUGCUGGAAGCAAUCGCAUCUGAGACAAGAGUGUUGAAUGCUUUUUCUGGGGAGUUUUUCCUCUGGGUUAGACGCCGGCUCAAAUCUCCAAGGUCUUUGUUCACCAGAUCCAAGUUGCAUUGUUCUUCUCAUGGCCAUUACAUUCAGCAAACUGAGCACAGUUGAAUCUCGUGUGAACGCUGGUGCAGACAUGGGAACAUCUGCGCUUCCGUGCUCGGUCGUAAGUUCAUAGUAAAGAGCGUGUAGUGUGUACUCCAAGCUUAGCGCAGCUUGCGCUUUGGUUUGCUAAGUGUUUAAAACCUUUUCGUUGUUCGUGGCAGUUGUGCAGUAACAGGAUAGUCGCUUUUUACGCUUGAGCACCCAUUUCAGCUUAUAUUUUACAAGCGUCCCUCCGUUUCUUGGCAAGUCCUGUGAGGCCCCUUGGAGGUGAAAGACGUCUCUCUAUACACAGUGCUGAAGAACAACCAACGCAUACUGCUACAUGUCGGCGACUUGUCGCGUUUUUCUCUCCAUUUUCGACGUCCCAUCGAUACACGAGACUCGUUUAAAGAGGAGAGGGACCUGUAAAAUGUAAACCUCUUUUGGAGGUGGCAACGCCAUCGAGAAAGGUCCGCCAGCCCAGGGGAAGCUCUGAUUCCUGUUGUCUCCCCCCAAAACAACAAACCAACCGACGGGUUCGGUGUAUA